Molecule: long non-coding RNA, 591 nt
Filed under: Brachypodium distachyon (stiff brome)
Lineage: Eukaryota; Viridiplantae; Streptophyta; Magnoliopsida; Poales; Poaceae
Description: long non-coding RNA (BDIS_LNC001553)
Source: RNAcentral
GACUCACACGUUCUCCAAAAGAUUCGGUUAGGAUGAAAACACAAGAAACAUAAAAAAAAAAGGUGUUACAAAUAUGGAACAUAAAAAAAAUGAACGAUUUCUUUUUCAAAAGACAAAAAAAGGAAAAUGAACGAAAUGUUUGCUAUGGACUCGAUUGUACCAGCAUGCCCAUGUGUCGGGCCAGAACCUUGCAUUUUCCUUACGGUUUUGCUAUUUCUUAAUUAGGCGACUGAGAAAUAACUAUUUUUUCUUAGUCGAUGAUAACGACCUUUUGAUUCAAUCAUUGAGAUUCUUAUAAGAUUAAUAUAAGUCUGAUGGAUAAAAUAAUCUUGAUUAGAUGGCUACGAUUGUUGAUUGAGAAAUAAAUAUUUCUUAGACGACUGAGAAAUAGACACUCGUGUUUCCUUGAGUACAGACAAAGAAUAAACAUACUACGCGAUGAACAUGGAUGCCAAGCAAAACAAGUUAUCAAACACCUAACCUGCAAGCACAACAAAUUAUGCAGCACCAGAAACAAAAUAGACAGAGAUCGACGUGGGAAGAAAGGGGAAAAGGAAGGACGCGCGAUGGACAAUCGGACCAGGCGGCGGG